Molecule: ribosomal RNA, 630 nt
Filed under: uncultured archaeon
Lineage: Archaea
Description: bacterial SSU rRNA
Rfam family: Archaeal small subunit ribosomal RNA
Source: RNAcentral
AGGAAAGCCCGGAGAUGGUACUGAGACACGGACCCAGGCCCUAUGGGGCGCAGCAGGCGAGAAACCUUAGCAAUGUGCGAAAGCACGACUGGGUCAGUCCGAGUGAUUUCUGAUAAAGGAGUCUUUUGCCCGUCCUAAAAGCACGGGCGAAUAAGGGGUGGGCAAGUCUGGUGUCAGCCGCCGCGGUAAUACCAGCACCUCGAGUGGUCAGGACGAUUAUUGGGCCUAAAGCAUCCGUAGCUGGUCUUGCAAGUCUCCGGUUAAAUCCACCUGCUCAACAGAUGGGCCGCUGGAGAUACUACAAGACUAGGGAGUGGGAGAGGUAGACGGUACUCGGGGGGUAGGGGUAAAAUCCUCUGAUCCUUUGAAGACCACCAGUGGCGAAGGCGGUCUACCAGAACACGUUCGACAGUGAGGGAUGAAAGCUGGGGGAGCAAACCGGAUUAGAUACCCGGGUAGUCCCAGCUGUAAACGAUGCAGACUCGGUGAUGCAUUGGCUUCUUGCCAAUGCAGUGCCGCAGGGAAGCCGUUAAGUCUGCCGCCUGGGAAGUACGGUCGCAAGAUUGAAACUUAAAGGAAUUGGCGGGGGAGCACCACAAGGGGUGAAGCCUGCGGUUCAAUUGGAUCAAC